This 590-nucleotide ribosomal RNA is filed under the name uncultured bacterium. Its description in RNAcentral is "bacterial SSU rRNA". It matches the Rfam family "Bacterial small subunit ribosomal RNA", at positions 338 to 942 of the family's 1533-position model. The record is from RNAcentral.
CCUACGGGAGGCAGCAGUAGGGAAUUUUCCGCAAUGGGCGAAAGCCUGCCGGAGCAAUACCGCGUGAGGGAUGACGGCCUGUGGGUUGUAAACCUCUUUUCUCAAGGAAGAAGUUCUGACGGUACUUGAGGAAUAAGCAUCGGCUAACUCUGUGCCAGCAGCCGCGGUAAUACAGAGGAUGCAAGCGUUAUCCGGAAUCACUGGGCAUAAAGCGUCUGUAGGUUGUUUAGUAAGUCUGCUGUUAAAGACUGGGGCUUAACCCCAGAAAAGCAGUGGAAACUGCUAGACUCGAGUGUGGUAGAGGUAGAGGGAAUUCCUAGUGUAGCGGUGAAAUGCGUAGAUAUUAGGAAGAACACCAAUGGCGAAGGCACUCUACUGGGCCAUAACUGACACUGAGAGACGACAGCUAGGGGAGCAAACGGGAUUAGAUACCCCGGUAGUCCUAGCCGUAAACGAUGGAUACUAGAUGUUGCACGUAUUAACCCGUGCAGUAUCGUAGCUAAGGCGUUAAGUAUCCCGCCUGGGAGUACGNUCGCAAGNGNGAACUGAAAGGUAUGACGNUGAGAGUGCGAGGCGACGACGAGGAGAGG